GUACCAAUUAAACUGAGAUGAGCAUUUCUAGAAGCAGCAGCCGCAGCAGCUGAAGUGCCUGCUACAGCCUUUCUCCGCUUAGCUCUACCACGAGAUUCUUCAAAAUUGUCGGACGAUUCUUCUCUCUCCUCCUCAUUCACAUUUUGCUCCUCGUUAACCCUAGUUUGAACUCUCGUUCGUUUCUGUACACGAUUAACUCCAUAAUUAGGGCUCAAUUUUUUACUUACUCAAAGAAUAUGCAUAAAUAUUGUAGAAACUGGGGAAAAAAACUCACCGUACUUCGAUUCGCCGUUCCCGACACCACUGGU
RNAcentral lists this long non-coding RNA (308 nucleotides) under Nicotiana benthamiana. RNAcentral describes it as "long non-coding RNA (NBEN_LNC002387)". Lineage: Eukaryota; Viridiplantae; Streptophyta; Magnoliopsida; Solanales; Solanaceae. The record is from RNAcentral.